AAAACUUCAUCAGACCUUCUCUCUCUAUCGGCGACUCAAGAAUAUCAUGCCAGAUCUCUCACCAGAUGCCGUUUCAUGACCAGAUCUAGCUGAUUUAUCGGGUUGCUUUGGACUUUACCUCUGAUGGCGUUGUGUUCAAGUACGGCUCUAAGCCUAUUCAGUUAUUAGGUAUUUUGGAAAUCUAGAAAUUAGGUGAUCGAGAGUAAAUCUAUAUUUGAUCUUCCUAGCCUCCAUUGUUGAAAUCUAUUGGAUCUUGAGCUUUAAUGCCUUUUCAUGGUUUUAAAAGAUUAAGUAUUGUUGCACGAGAAUCAGCAAUAGAAUGCACCACCUGAACCAUGGGCAUUAAGAGAACGAUGAAUCUUGGCAUAUGUUGGGAAGCUUUAUUUACAGAAGCUGGACCUGCACUUGAAGUCUUAAGUGAUAUUCUUAAUGCCAUUGAUACCGGACUGGACGUUAGUUUCUAUACAAGAAACCCGUAAAACGCUACUAACUGAUGUCGAAUAACAGAAAACAAGGAUAGCUGGUUGAACAGGGUGAUGAUCGGCUGAAAGGAGGUAGGGUAAAUCUGGUUAGCUAGGCUGCACAAAUCAGAACUUUCUAUAGGGAUUGAUGAUGGGUUGUCUUAUAUGAGUUGUUUGAAGAAGAACUGAUCAGCCUGCAGCCCUACAUGAACUUCAGAAUGUGAUUCAACAUCAACAACAGAUGGUAUUUUGGCUCGCAAUAAAAAGAUGAACUUUAUGUCUUCUAGUAUGUGGCGAGACGAUGGUGACUGAUAGCGCCACGGUAAACCCAUCUCCACUGCUCGCAGCUGAUGUUAUGUGAGUUGGACACUGCCGCUGCUUCGUGUUUGAAAUCAAUGUAGGAUGUGUUGUUAAAUCUGUUUUUGGGUCUGGUGUUUGAGUCGAACAGACUCGAUCUAACUUUUCCCGAGCUUAAGAUUGAGCUGCAACGUUCUUGAUAAAUCAUGAAUGGUGAGGUGACGAUGAUGGCAAGUGUGCAUAAAAUGAAAGGAUGGUGAUUGUGAGAACCGAUGGCGAAGGCAGGUAUAAACCGGAUUGGGACAAAAAAAACUGGUUUUAACCUGUUUUUUUACAAUCGAUUCGUGUUAUAAACUGGUUUCAAAGAUCGAGAAUACGAGCCGGUAUCCAAACCGUCGGGUUGAAACUGGUUUUUAUUUCAAAUCGGAUUGGGUUUUUUUUCCAAACCGCCGCAUAGCAAACAUGGAGUUUGAGAAGAUUAACAAAGGCGGGGUUAUGGUAACUCAAGCAAUAGAUAAGCACCAAGGAUGAGGGGCAGCAGCCGUUCACCUUCAAAAUUGGCCAAGGCCAAGUUAUUAAAGAUUGAUGAUUUUGAUGUGAAAUAAAACGAGAUAAGGAGCUUUUUACAAACAUUUUAUGUUUGCAGUUGUAAGAAGUUGAUGAAUUUUCAGUCUGUCUUUGUUUAAAAAGGCGCACCUGAUGCACAAGGCGAUCAUGUACUUUUGGGCGGAUUCCUACAGCUGAUGCUUUGGCUAUUAGGAAUGUGAACGUUGGAAACGGAAGUUGCCCUCUAUGCAGGACAGUUCAGGAGACUGCGGCCCAUCUGUUCGCUACCUAUCUUGUUUUGAGGACAUCAUUUGGGCUUGGGUUAAAAUCCCGCAUCCAGUUGCGGCUGAGACUCUAGACCAAGUCAUCCAGUUUGGGGCGAAUUUAGUCAUGCCGACUUUGAGGAAAAAGGUAAUAAAUGCGAUCUUUUUCAUGACUAUCUGGAAGAUUUGGAUACAUCGCAACGAGAAAAUUUUCAAAUGUAAAGCAGUGUCGGUAGAUAAUAUCACAGAGGAGAUCAAAGAAGAGAGCUUCUGGUGGAUGGCGAAACGAUCGAGAAUGGUGGGCAUCUCGAUGGAGAACCGGGGAGAUUUUGACGUAGGGUUGCAAUUUUAAUGUAUCUGGUAGUUUAGUAUAUGCUUUCUUCUAUGUUUGUUUUUCUUCUAUUUGGUUGCGGCUUUCACAACUGCUUGCUGUGUUAGCUUGUUCAACUUGUAUUUGUAGUUUUGGUUUAUAAAAUUUUGAAAAUGAAGUUUGCAGCAUU
Molecule: long non-coding RNA, 2067 nt
Filed under: Helianthus annuus (common sunflower)
Lineage: Eukaryota; Viridiplantae; Streptophyta; Magnoliopsida; Asterales; Asteraceae
Source: RNAcentral